Molecule: unclassified non-coding RNA, 349 nt
Filed under: soil metagenome
Description: partial contains 5.8S ribosomal RNA, internal transcribed spacer 2, and large subunit ribosomal RNA
Rfam family: 5.8S ribosomal RNA (bases 1-120)
Source: RNAcentral
GAUGAAGAACGUAGCGAAAUGCGAUAAGUAGUGUGAAUUGCAGAAUUCCGUGAAUCAUCGAGUCUUUGAACGCACAUUGCGCCCCCUGGUAUUCCGGGGGGCAUGCCUGUCCGAGCGUCAUUGCUGCCCAUCAAGCACGGCUUGUGUGUUGGGUCCUCGUCCCCCCCGGGGGACGUGCCCGAAAGGCAGCGGCGGCACCGCGUCCGGUCCUCGAGCGUAUGGGGCUUUGUCACCCGCUCUGCAGGCCCGGCCGGCGCUGGCCGACGCGAAAGCAACCAUUUUUUCUCCAGGUUGACCUCGGAUCAGGUAGGGAUACCCGCUGAACUUAAGCAUAUCAAUAAGCGGAGGA